This 1362-nucleotide ribosomal RNA is filed under the name uncultured bacterium. Its description in RNAcentral is "bacterial SSU rRNA". It matches the Rfam family "Bacterial small subunit ribosomal RNA", at positions 28 to 1381 of the family's 1533-position model. The record is from RNAcentral.
AUUGAACGCUGGCGGCAGGCUUAACACAUGCAAGUCGAGCGGUAGCACAAGAGAGCUUGCUCUCUGGGUGACGAGCGGCGGAUGGGUGAGUAAUGUCUGGGAAACUGCCUGAUGGAGGGGGAUAACUACUGGAAACGGUAGCUAAUACCGCAUAACGUCGCAAGACCAAAGAGGGGGACCUUCGGGCCUCUUGCCAUCAGAUGUGCCCAGAUGGGAUUAGCUAGUAGGUGGGGUAAUGGCUCACCUAGGCGACGAUCCCUAGCUGGUCUGAGAGGAUGACCAGCCACACUGGAACUGAGACACGGUCCAGACUCCUACGGGAGGCAGCAGUGGGGAAUAUUGCACAAUGGGCGCAAGCCUGAUGCAGCCAUGCCGCGUGUGUGAAGAAGGCCUUCGGGUUGUAAAGCACUUUCAGCGAGGAGGAAGGUGGUGAACUUAAUACGUUCAUCAAUUGACGUUACUCGCAGAAGAAGCACCGGCUAACUCCGUGCCAGCAGCCGCGGUAAUACGGAGGGUGCAAGCGUUAAUCGGAAUUACUGGGCGUAAAGCGCACGCAGGCGGUUUAUUAAGUCAGAUGUGAAAUCCCCGGGCUCAACCUGGGAACCGCAUUUGAAACUGGCAAGCUAGAGUCUCGUAGAGGGGGGUAGAAUUCCAGGUGUAGCGGUGAAAUGCGCAGAGAUCUGGAGGAAUACCGGUGGCGAAGGCGGCCCCCUGGACGAAGACUGACGCUCAGGUGCGAAAGCGUGGGGAGCAAACAGGAUUAGAUACCCUGUAGUCCACGCUGUAAACGAUGUCGAUUUGGAGGUUGUGCCCUUGAGGCGUGGCUUCCGGAGCUAACGCGUUAAAUCGACCGCCUGGGGAGUACGGCCGCAAGGUUAAAACUCAAAUGAAUUGACGGGGGCCCGCACAAGCGGUGGAGCAUGUGGUUUAAUUCGAUGCAACGCGAAGAACCUUACCUACUCUUGACAUCCAGAGAACUUCCCAGAGAUGGAUUGGUGCCUUCGGGAACUCUGAGACAGGUGCUGCAUAGCUGUCGUCAGCUCGUGUUGUGAAAUGUUGGGUUAAGUCCCGCAACGAGCGCAACCCUUAUCCUUUGUUGCCAGCGGUUCGGCCGGGAACUCAAAGGAGACUGCCAGUGAUAAACUGGAGGAAGGUGGGGAUGACGUCAAGUCAUCAUGGCCCUUACGAGUAGGGCUACACACGUGCUACAAUGGCAUAUACAAAGAGAAGCGACCUCGCGAGAGCAAGCGGACCUCAUAAAGUAUGUCGUAGUCCGGAUUGGAGUCUGCAACUCGACUCCAUGAAGUCGGAAUCGCUAGUAAUCGUAGAUCAGAAUGCUACGGAGAAUACGUUCCCGGGCCU